UACGAGGGGGGCGAGCGUUGUUCGGAAUUAUUGGGCGUAAAGGGUGCGUAGGCGGUUCCGCAAGUCCUGUGUGAAAUCUUCGGGCUCAACUCGAAGUCUGCACGGGAAACUGCGGGGCUUGAGUGUGGGAGAGGUGAGUGGAAUUCCCGGUGUAGCGGUGAAAUGCGUAGAUAUCUGGAGGAAUACCGGUGGCGAAGGCGGCAUCCUGGACCGACAUUGACGCUGAUGAGCGAAAGCUAGGGGAGCAAACGGG
RNAcentral lists this ribosomal RNA (253 nucleotides) under uncultured bacterium. Its description in RNAcentral is "partial 16S ribosomal RNA". It matches the Rfam family "Bacterial small subunit ribosomal RNA", at positions 524 to 776 of the family's 1533-position model. The record is from RNAcentral.